UGGUAGAUGCACCCUGAUAACUAAUUUCCCCUAGCUGGUUAAUACCUACUGGGGGUUUUUUAU
Molecule: small RNA, 63 nt
Filed under: Anabaena cylindrica PCC 7122
Lineage: Bacteria; Bacillati; Cyanobacteriota; Cyanophyceae; Nostocales; Nostocaceae
Description: Nitrogen stress-induced RNA 1
Rfam family: Nitrogen stress-induced RNA 1
Source: Rfam by way of RNAcentral